GAUGAACGCUGGCGGCGUGCCUAACACAUGCAAGUCGAACGGAGAUUACGGACGGAAGUUUUCGGAUGGAAGCCUGUAAUUCUUAGUGGCGGACGGGUGAGUAACGCGUGGGCAACCUGCCCUAUACAGGGGGAUAGCAGCUGGAAACGGCUGGUAAGACCGCAUAAGUCGGUUAAAUCGCAUGAUUUGAUCGGGAAAUGAGCAAUCAGGUAUAGGAUGGGCCCGCGUCCGAUUAGCCAGUUGGCAGGGUAAAAGCCUACCAAAGCGACGAUCGGUAGCCGGACUGAGAGGUCGGACGGCCACAUUGGGACUGAGGCACGGCCCAAACUCCUACGGGAGGCAGCAGUGGGGGAUAUUGCACAAUGGAGGAAACUCUGAUGCAGCGACGCCGCGUGAGUGAAGAAGUAUUUCGGUAUGUAAAGCUCUAUCAGCAGGGAAGAUGAUGACGGUACCUGACUAAGAAGCCCCGGCUAACUACGUG
RNAcentral lists this ribosomal RNA (481 nucleotides) under uncultured bacterium. RNAcentral's name for it is "partial 16S ribosomal RNA". It matches the Rfam family "Bacterial small subunit ribosomal RNA", at positions 28 to 507 of the family's 1533-position model. The record is from RNAcentral.